Non-coding RNA from Pelobates cultripes (western spadefoot toad), 221 nucleotides. The record is from the annotation of a GenBank genome assembly. Lineage: Eukaryota; Metazoa; Chordata; Amphibia; Anura; Pelobatidae.
UUUCCAACAGAAAGCCCUUAGGGACUGACUAUACUCACCAGAACACGUACAAUAAGCUGUAGUCAGGGCCGGUGCUUGGAUUUUUAGGUACAUAGGCGAAGAUGCAUUUCGCCCCCCCACACCCCACCCCCAAAAACUUCACCUAUGUGCCUCUUAACCAGCCCCUCUCCCCUCCCCGACCAUUAGUGGUCCCUUCCCUUCCCUGUCCCUUAGUGUUCUUC